GGUAAAUGUUCUUAUUUUAUUUAUUAACUUCGCUAUUUUGAGAAUUUCUGAAAAUAGGAUUUUCGGUAUAUAUAUAUAUAUGUAUAUUUAUGAGGAGAGUAUGUAUAUAAAUGCUAGUUAGCCAUAUGUGUCUGUACACCUUAAUGACGUAGUAUAUAACCGCAUUAUGGUGUGACGUGAGCAUUAGACGCGAGCGUAGUAGCCCUAUAUGGGUAUAUAUGGGCACAUAUUUAUACACUUGUCCAUCCACCUUAAUGGCGUAGUGUAGCACCGCAUUAAGGCGUGACAUGAGCGUUAGACGCAAGCGUAGUAGCCUUGUAUGAAUUUCUAUUUUCCUUAUAUUUCCUUCAUAGAAUUCAUACAAGAAGUAUGGACGUGUAUAGAUACAUACAUAUUAUAUAUAUUGAUGGAUUUAUAUUAUUGAGUUUGAGAGGCUCGAUAUUUAAGAGAUGAAAGUUUUAUCGUUUGAGGCAUGCAUUUGAUUUCUUUGGAAAUUUAAUUUGGGAUAGCAUUAAUUAUUUCUGUUAAAUUUAUUUUUAUCCACUCACUCUAACGUUUGCAAAUGUUGUCCCCUGGGCCCUUCGUUUUAAAAAUGCCCACUAUGCAGGUUAGCAUAGUUGAGGUCGAGCGUACAUGGAGAAGAGGUAUAGUCAAUAGUAUAGCUUCCGCUCAUUUUUAUAUUUCUAGUUCUUUUCCUCUCAAAUAAAUUGCUGUCACAUCCCAGUUCUUAAAUUAAAUUACGGUUAUUUACUUUGGUAUUACUUUGGUCUUUUACCGUUUUAUGUAACCGUUUACUAUUUAAGACUCCAAAAGUUGACUUUUUCUUCCGUUUGAAAUUUGGGAAAAUUUUCUUCACAAAAGUCGUAGAGGACGUUAAUACAAAUUCGUAGACAUACUAUAUAUUAAAAUCGGAGUUAGCAUGAAAAAGUUAUCAGAUAAAAGGGGUAAAUUUUGAGUGGUAAAAAUGGGGUGAAUUUUAGUAGGCUUUAUUUGUUGUGGGUAUUAAGUUGGACCGGGUGUGAAGCAGCCCAACACCCACACACUUACUCUCUCUCUCUCUCUCUUCCUUCUCUCUCUCCCGAACUCUCCCCGACCCGCCGGAUUCCUCGGCUCCAACCGCCACCGUCCGGCCACCAAUGACCGACGCACCGGUCCAAAACGGUCAGCCGUCGACCUAGCCUUCUCCAUGGACCGGUGAGAGAUGCCCUAGCGCCGCCGUGAGGGAGAGAGCUCGCCUAGAAGCUCUGCUUGCGUUGUGGAGUCCCGUCGUCGGAACUCGCUACUCCCGCCGCCAUCGCCGGUGAUUUGGGUCUCAUUUGGAAGAGCUUGUUUUGUGUAACAAUCCCCUAGAAGGUAAUUAACCAAUUCGAAAUGUGUAGGAGGAUUUUUGGUCUAGGGUUUGAAUUGGGGAUUUUUUUAUGUUUUGAUUUGAUUACCCUAUUUAGGCUUAGAAUUGGACUAAGUGCUAGUUAUGGAAGUUGUUGUGCAUAUUUAGAGGAUUGUUGUGCUAAAUUUUGGGAAACAUUGGAGGUCGCCGGAGUACGGCUGCCGGCGGAGCCUCCCCUUAGGGGUAGUUUUUCAUGUUUUUGAGAUUGUUUUAAGGAGAGGAGUUUAAUGAUGUGAAGUUUAGAAUUUUUGGAGGAGUUUUGGUUAGGUUUGGGAUUUUUCAAAGAUUGAGAAUUUUAGUGGUUGUUAGAAUGAAAAUCCGGCCAUUGGAUUUCCUUGGUAUUUAUUCUAGAAUAUUAGAAUUGAUGAAUUAAGGUUGUGGUGGAGUUUGGUAUGAAUCCGAUAAGCUUAACCCUAGACAGGGUAGUGGGUUAGGCGGAAGAUUUUCAGGGUGUUUUAUUAAAGCAUUUAUUUUUCCAAAAAUCGGAAUGUGGUUCUAAUUAUGCUUAUGGUGUUAGGAUUCAUGGAGACCUCACUUGUAUGGCUAUAUCUGCUUCUUAUUUAUUGUUGUUGACCUGACUAACGGGGCUAGUCUAUCUUUUUGAUAUUCCUUUUUACAAAGAUCUUUAUGAAUCCUUGUUGUUGUUGUUUUGAUUGCGAGGCUAGUUCGUUUUCUCGGGAUUUUCUUUUUGAAGGCAUUAUCAACAGUUGCAUGCAAUGGAUUUAUUGCUUAUCGGAAAGUGAGAAAGUAUUUAAGUUUUGGUUUCUUAUCCUAUGUCCUUUUAUUUAUUUAUUUUUGUCCACUCACUCUAACGUUUUAAAUUACUUUCCUCUGGGCCUUUUGGUUUCAAAUGCCCAGUUUGCAGGCUAAGUUUAAAUGAGGUCGAGUGUACAUGGAGUCGAGGCAUAGUCAGAGGCUGCUUCUGCUUACUCUUUAUUCAUUGUUUUUCUUUCAUUAUAGAUGCUCUGAUGACCAUUAGAGAUUGUUAUUAGUUGAGUAUGGUUGAAAGUAUUUUGGGAGAUGUUAUGAACUUGGGGAGCAAGAAGGCUCUAGGAGUUGAGGUUGGUUGAUUUAUAAUAGAAGUGUCUAUUUGGAAUUUUUUCAUGGAAGCGUUGUCCAUUUUCAAGGUAAAUUAUGCCAAUUUUUCAGUAAAUUUUCCUUGGAGGUGGACCCUGUAGGAUUUACUUCGGGUUUCAGAGUGAAAUUCUGGGUGGGUCCUGUCAGUUGGUAUCAAAGGUUAGGUUAUCCGAUUCCUAUCACUACCUCAUAUGCUUAUUGGUGAUACUUAGUGUCUAUAGAGUGAUGGUCCGACCGCGGUGGAUCCAUUAGCAUUAUAUGCAUCAGAUGCUAUGUGUUUAUUACGUAUGUGAGGUAGUUCUUGUCUUUUUUAUGGAUAGUAUUGUGUCAUAAAUUUCUAUAUCUUCAAGACUAUGCCUCCGUACGCCAACCUCAAAGAGUAUCUUGGUUAUUUUCCGAGUAAUGGGAAGGUAAGUGAUUUGUGAGAUUUUGAGUUCAGUUAUGAGUUGGGAAGUGACCUGGAUUUGUAGUGUUCUACUAUUUAUUUAUUUAGUUGUUGACUUUUAUUUGAUUGACAAGUUGAGCCUUUUUGCUGAUAUUAAUAAUAGGAAGGGCAUGCUUGUGAACGAGGGAUUGAGCAAUUUCUAGUUAAGGUUGGUAUUGGAAUAAGAGAUAUUAUAAGGGAGUUAAGCAAGUGUUGUUUUGCUUUGAGAUAAAUAGUAAAGUGAUACUGCUUGAGUUAAUUAAUUGUGGAUGUUAUUGGAUGCGUUAAAUGGGGCUAUUAAAGUUUGGUUUAUGCAUUGAAGUUCGAUUUCUGUGAUUGUUAUUGGUCGAUUUAGGUUUGGUAUGUGUGAUGUGGGAUUCGCUCUCCUACUUAUGUUGAGUGUUUUAGAUGGAUUGUAACUAUAAUGGGCUUUGAAAUUGUAAUAGUAAAGCGGAUGCGAGAUGGUUGUGGCUGCUCCGACGUUACAACAACAGAUGGAAAAUUUGAUUCAUGAUGACUGAACUUGGUAGAUCAAGUGGCGAAUGAGAAUGUAGCUAUUUGCUUUGGACGCUUAGUGACAGUGUAGAAGUUUAGUAUCCGCUAGUCCCUGGACCAACCCAUUCUUAUUCUUGAGUAUUUCGGUUACAAGGGGAGAAGUGAAUAAUCGUGUUGAGAAUUUUGAGAGUUCUAGGUAACUCUAACAUCAAGUGACCUUGGUCACUAGAAAAGUUAGAAAUUUAGGUGCGGUGUGGUUGUUCAGAAAGCAGUUCUUUAUUUCAAAAUGCGUGAUUGUUGGGAGCCAAAAGAGUUGAGGAAUAUUUCGGUGUAUACAUAACCGAAGAUGUAGAGAUUGUUUGGAGAAGUGAGGUUGUGUGCCCAUAGUAAUUUUCAAGCGGCAUUGUUUAUGUUAGGUGACACAAGUCUUGAACUUUUGGGUUAUGAUGGCGUGACCAAAGUUUGUUUGCUAAAAUCACUUAGUUCGUGGUGGGAGAUUAACUGUGAUGUUCAAGGUGAGAUUAUGUUUACCCACCAUAUUUCAAACUCGAUAGACAGAAUAAUAAGAGUUUUAGAUGUAACGUGUUUUGGCUAUACCUAAGUUGGCUUUGCUGCAGUUUUAGAUAGCCGAAACACUCCUUUUUUCUAACGAUCUUGUGCUUUUGGAGGGCGGAAACUAUAAUUUUUAAGUUACGAAUCUUGGAGCCGCAAGUAUUAAGUGGUAUCAAGAGAGCCACGAGGCGAUGUUAAAUGAAUUGUUCGAGUCACGAGGUGUAUGAUUUAUGGAGUAGCUUUAGGGGAAACGGUUUCUCGGUUGAUUUAAGUAAGUAUUUUUGUUCAGAGUUUAGGGUAUCGAGGACAAUGCAUGUCCUGAUACGUUUAACGCCUUCCCUCCUGUAAGAGUUUUUCUUAUGGACCGCAUAGUCGUGGGACCACUUACUAUUCCAAGUAUGGUCUGGGAGAUCAUCACCGUUUGGUCAGGUGUCGAGAGGGGGAUAGGCUUAAACUUUUCUAUUAGAUUCUGGCUUUAAGGACGUGGUCGAAAUGGGUCGCUAGUGGAUGUCGGUUAUUGGUAGAACUUAUGAGCUCGAAAUUAUGGAUUUGCUUUCUUCUUGUACUUUAGUUAUUUUCCUCUUGAGUUUGAGCCAAGGUGAGUUUCGAUAUAUUCUUGCUCUUACAGUUUUUUGCGAUUGAUAAACCACAAAUUGUAGUAGUGGCAAUUAAUUUUGACAUCCGAUAGUUAACUUAAGUGUUUUGCGAACUCAGCUUAAUAGUGUUGUUGAACUGAAGGAGCCGCUAAAUGUUGUUUUCAGAUGUCGCUGCUUAUGACUAUCAAUAAAGUCAACUAAGAUAUAAUCUAGUUAUUGCUGAUACUCUAGUCAGAAACUUUGGGGCUUAGCAGCUGUAGCAACCAGCGUUUGCAAGAAUUUUGACCAUAACAGUUUUGUGGAUUAUGUUCUGUCCUCAGUGUCAGGACCCACCCCGAAUUUCACCCUGAAACCUGAAGUAAAUCCUACGGGGACCACCUCCAAGGAAAAUUUACCGAAAAAUUGGCAUAACCUCCCUUGAAAAUGGACAACCCUUCCUAACUAAAACAGCUGCAAACACUUCUAACAAUUCCAACUCCAACCUUAUAAACUCCUAGAGCCUUCGUGCUCCCCAUAAAUCACAACAUCUCCCAAUUUAUAUUUACUCAUCUAGCAAAAAAUCUCAUAACCAUCAAUCACAGGUUCAGAGCAACUCUAUUAGAGGAGACAGGAACUAGAAAUAGAAAUAUGAGCGGAAGCUAUACUAUUGAUUAUGCCUCGUCUCCAUGUAUGCCCGACCUCAAUUAUGCUAACCUGCAUACUGGGCAUUUUUAAAACGAAGGGUCCAGGGGAAAACAUUUGAAACCGUUUAAGUGAGUGGACAAAAAUGAAUUCAAUAAAAAUAUUUAUGCAUGCCCAAUUUAAUUUUUCAUAGAAAUUAUGAUGCAUGUGAUAGCUCAAAGCUUUAUACUCACAAACUGGCAAAUACAUGACUAGCUCCGGCCAGUCUCCAAAACUCAAUAAAAUGGAACCUCUCAGGCUAAACUAUAUAUAAAUAUAUAUGUGUAUGUAUUUACAUUUGUCAGACUCCUUGUACGAAUUCUAUGAACAAAAUAGAAAAAUAGAAAUUUAUACAAGGCUACUACGCUUGCGUCUAACGCUCACGUCUAACGCUCACGUCACACCAUAAUGGAAUUUUACCUCAUUAUGGCGGAAAAGCACGAGUGUAUAUACGUGUGGACUCCCUAUAUGAAAACCUAUAUGAAUCAGAUAAGAAAGUAGUUUUCAUAUAGGGCGGUGAUGCUUGUGUCUAACACUCACGUCACGCCAUAAUGGAAUUUCACCUUAUUAUGACGGACCAAACACGUAUGGCUAGCUAGCAUUUAUAUACAUACUAUCCUCAUAAACAUCCAAUAUACAUAUCCACCGAAAAUCUCAUUUUCAGUAACUCUCCAAAACACAAAAAUUGUCAAAUAUCAAAGAAAGCAAUAAAUUUCAGCAGAAGAAUAACCGAUCAACAAUGUAAUGCAUCACAUGCUUUUAAUUAAAACUAAAGUCCACUCACAACUUUAGGCAUAAGCCCGACGAAAUUCAAUUCGCCCCUCAAGUGAGGUCUCCUCAAAUCCUGGCACAAAAACAAUGCUUAGGACCACACUUCAAUUUCAUAAUAAAUAAUACUUAAAUAUAUAACCCAAAACUUGUCCGCCUAACCCACUACCCUUUCUAGGAUUAAGCUUAUCGGAUUCAGGCCAAAUUCCAACCAUAGCCUUAUUUCCUUUAUUUCAAUAUUCUAAAACAAUAAUAAGGGAAAUCCAACGGUCGGAUUCUACCCUAUUAACUGUCAAAUUCACCAAUCUUUCAAAAAUCCAAAACCUAUUCAAAACUCUUCCAAAAAUUCCAAACUUCACAUCAUUAAACUCCCUUUAAUAUAUCACAAUUAAAACCAUAAAAAUCCUCUAAACAGUGGCAGCGCUGCCGUUUGCUCCGCCGGCAGCGGCGGCCGAAGGCCUAAUCCGGCGACCUCCAAUGCCUACCAAAUUUUAACAACAGCUUCCACUUAACCCCCUCUACAACUUUCCUAACUAGCACAAACACCAAUUCCAAGCCUAACUAGGUCAAUCAAACAAAAAAUCACAAAAAGCCCUAGAACUUCCACUCACCGGUUCUCCUCACCUGAAGCAAACUGGACCGAGUCCUCUUAGGGCAAGGCAACUGGGUUGAAGGCCUUCAAAACCAUGUAAGGCUUGCACAGAUUGGUGGCCGGAGGAGGAAGUUCCGGCGACAGAGAGCUUUGGGCAGUCGGGACUUUCGAGUGGCAACUCUCCCUCACGGCGGCGCUAGGAGAGCUCUCACCGGUCUAGGAUGGGAGUUGGGUCGGAGGCCUACCGAUCGGGACUGGAGUGGCGGUCUCAGGUGGCCGAACGACAACGAACAGCCGACUAGAAGUUCGGCGUGGAGAGGGCUCGGGGAAGAGGGAGAGAAGAGAAAGAGAGUGGGCUUUGUCCACUAAAAUGUGACCCAGUCCACUCAUUAAUACCCACACUUCAUAACAUAAAACACCCCAAUAAAAAUACCCUAAUAAAAAUUACCUUUUACUAGCCAAAAUUUAACCAUUUUUACCGUCGUCACAUUUUCUCCUACGAAUAAUUCCUCCGAAAUAAUCGUCCCUCAAAACCCCUCUAGGGACCAAAUAAACUAUAAAUUCAUUGACAGAGACGGUAAAAUUCUUAUUAUAACCAAGCUAGUAAAUAAGGUAAAAAUUUAAGAGUCGGGAUAUAACACUCAGACUAAUUGAUAAGGAAGUGGAAAGAGAUGUGGGUUUGUACAGUUUGGAGAUUCUGGCAUUUAAAAAUCUUUCUUAUAGGGUGGUGAGAGUGAGCCGUAGGAUUUUAGCUAUCGAAUUUGUGGUCGCGAUUGAACCCGAAUCAGAAGUGUGGCUUGGGGUACAAAUUUUGUCAAUGCUUAAGGAAGGUGAUUUGUUUGUGUGGAUUUCUACGUUUAGUCAAGCAACAUGAAUUGUCGCAGUAAAUAGUGAACAACUCAUCUCUUCUUGUUCGGGGAACAGGUCCUGCAACCUAAAGGCUCGUCUGCAUGCAAGUUGGAACGAAUUUGGUUAGUAUGAGGGGAUAAUCGUAUUUCCCUCAUUUUUAGAGGUGCCAGUUUUGGGUAUGUUGGUCGGUUUUUUGAGGGUGAUAUUUUUCUUGUGCUUGUAAGUCGUUGUUGGUGGCGACUGUUGAAUUUAUUAUUGAGGAAUGAGAUUCCGACGGUUAUUAUUGGUUAGUAAUGAUUAAUUCGCGGGGCGAAUUAUUAGAAAUAAUAAUAUGAUUGGCUGGUGGUAUAGCUCCAAGGAAAAAGAUUCUCGAUGACUCAGGAAAUAUUUUUAGUUAAGGCUUGUCAAUUCAUUGGCAUAAAUAGUAAAAUUGUGACAGUUUAUGUUAAAUGACUUUCUUGUGAUACAUAUUCAUACAUAAUCGUAUUGUGGUGGGACCACUUUUGAUCUGUAUAGGACCUGGGAGGUCAUUGAUGUAUGGAUACGAUUUAAGAUAUAAGAGAUAUUUAGUGUAGGGGUAUGGUAACAUAGAUCGCAUUAGCAUAAUCUGGCGACAAAGGAGGUAUUUGCCGAUCAGCUUAACAAUUGAGGCCAAUCCUAUAGGUGGUGAGAGUCCUAUUUGAUGAGAACGAUCAAGUUUUGUUUUGAUUAAUUGGUGACGAAAGUAAGAUGGUGUUGUGAAUCACGAAUUCUCUUUGACCAUUUUGACUUGGCGAAAGUCAAAAGUCAUCCGUGUGAUUUGGGGUUGUGUAUCAUAAGUAAUUAUAAUCGGGAAAACCAUUCAAUUAGUGGAAGAUAAGUCAAGGAGUAAGGCGUAUUAUGUGAGUGGUACCAUGUGGAAUGUUGUCGGAGUAUUUCAGUUGACCCUAAGUUUGAGAUUUGUUAAAGCAUAUGCUCACGCCUUGGGUUUGGUAGAUAAGUUAUGAUGUGCUAGUAUAAGUGGAAAAGAAUUCGGCUAAUUGUUUCCACAAGUGAAAAGGUGUAAUUUGUGAUAGAAGAAAGUUUGAAGAGCAUUGAUGAUGGGAUGAUUUAGCUUAGCGCUUAUUGGAGUCUGAGGUGAAAGACAGUUCCCUCCACCCCCUUUUAUGAUUUGAAAUUUCGAGCACGAAAUUUUUAUAAGGAGGGGAGAAUUGUCACAUCCCGGUUCUUAAAUUAAAUUACGGUUAUUUACUUUGGUAUUACUUUGGUCUUUUACCGUUUUACGUAACCGUUUACUAUUUAAGACUCCAAAAGUUGACUUUUUUUUCCGUUUGAAAUUUGGGAAAAGUUCCUUCACAAAAGUCGUAGAGGAAGUUAAUACAAAUUCCUAGACAUACUAUAUGUUAUAAUCAGAGUUAGCAUGAAAAAGUUAUCAGAUAAAAGGGGUAAAUUUUGAGUGGUAAAAAUGGGGUGAAUUUUAAUAGGCUUUAUUUGUUGUGGGUAUUAAGUUGGAUCGGGUGUGAAGCAACCCAACACCCACACACUUACUCUCUCUCUCUCUCUCUCUCUCUCUCUCUCUCUUCCUUCUCUCUCUCCCGAACUCACCCCGACCCGCCGGAUUCCUCGGCUCCGACCGCCGCCGUCCGGCCACCAUAGACAGGCACACCGGUACCAAACGGUCGGCUGUCGACCCAGCCUUCUCUCUGGACUGGUGAGAGCUGCCCUAGCGCCGACGUGAGGGAGAGAGCUCGCCCGGAAGCUCCGCCUGCCUUGUGGAACCCGUCACAGGAACUCACUACUCCGGCCACCAUCGCCGGUGAUUUGGGUCUCAUUUGGAAGAGCUUGUCUUGUGUAACAAUACCCUAGAAGGUAAUUAACCAAUUCGAAAUGUGUAGGAGGAUUUUCGGUCUAGGGUUUGAAUUGGGGAUUUUUGGAUGUUUUGAUUCGAUUACCCUAGUUAGGAUUAAAAUUGGACUAAGUGCUAGUUAUGGAAGUUGUUGUACGUAUUGAGAGGAUUGUUGUGCUAAAAUUUGGGAAGCAUUGGAGGUUGCCGGAGUACGGCUACCGGCCGCCCCUUAGGGAUAGUUUUUCAUGUUUUUGAGAUUGUUUUAAUGAUGUGAAGUUUAGAAUUUUUUGAGGAGUUUUGGUUAGGUAUGGGAUUUUUCAAAGAUUAAGAAUUUCAGCGGUUGUUAGAAUGAAAAUCCGGCCGUUGGAUUUCCUUGAUACUAGGAUAUUAGAAUUGAUGAAUUAAGGUUGUGGUGGAGUUUGGUAUGAAUCUGAUAAGCUUAACCCUAGAGAGGGUAGUGGGUUAGGCGGAAGAUUUUCAGGGUGUUUUAUUAAAGCAUUUAUUUUUCCAAAAAUCAGAAUGUGGUUCUAAUUAUGCUUAUGGUGUUAGGAUUCAUGGAGACCUCACUUGUAUGGCUAUAUCGGCUUCUUAUUUAUUGUUGUUGGCCUAACUAGUGGGGCUAGUCAAUCUUUUUGAUAUUCCUUUUUACAAAGAUCUUUAUGAAUCCUUGUUGUUGUUGUUUUGACUAGCGAGGCUAGUCCGUUUUCUCGGGAUUUUAUUUUGAAGGCGUUAUCAACACUUGCAUGCAACGGAUUUAUUGCUUAUCGGAAAGUAGGAAAGUAUUUAAGUUUUGGUUUCUUAUUCUAUGUCCUUUUAUUUAUUUAUUUUUGUCCACUCACUCUAACGUUUUAAGUUACUUUCCUUUGGGCCCUGUGGUUUCAAAUGCCCAGUUUGUAGGCUAAGUUUAAAUAAGGUCGAGCGUACAUGGAGUCGAAGCAUAGUCAGAGGCUGCUUCUGCUUACUCUUUAUUCAUUGUUUUUCUUUCAUUAUAGAUGCUCUGAUGACCAUUAGAGAUUGUUAUUAGUUGAGUAUGGUUGGAAGUAUUUUGGGAGAUGUUAUGAACUUGGGGAGCAAGAAGGCUCUAGGAGUUGAGGUUGGAUGAUUUAUAAUAAAAGUGUCUAUUUGGAAUUUUUUUCAAGUAAGGGUUGUCCAUUUUCAAGGUAGAUUAUGCCGAAUUUUCGGUAAAUUUUCCUUGGAGGUGGACCCUGCAGGAUUUACUUCGGGUUUCAGGGUGAAAUUCGGGGUGGGUCCUAUCAGUUGCUCUGGACAGUGGUUGUUGGUUGUGAGAUUUUCUUUUUAAAGUUAGUAAAUAAAUUGGGAGAUGUUGUGAUUGGGGGAGCACGAAGGCUCUAUGAGAUGUUGUGAUUUGGAUUUUUAGAAGUGUAUGCAGGUUUUAUUAGGAAGGGUUGUCCAUUUUCAAGGGAGGUUAUGCCGAAUUUUCAGUAAAUUUUCCUUGGAGGUGGUCCCCGCAGGAUUUACUUCGAGUUUCAGGGUGAAAUUCGGGGUGAGUCUUGACAGAUAGGUUCUUGGGCAAGUGAUGCUAUAAUACCCUAGAUUUUCAUAUCAUUUUCCUUGUAUUAUUUCUGGAUUUAAUGAACGAUUAUUUAUGGAAAUUCUUUAGUUUAAGCGAAGUUGAAGUUUCGGGAGUAAAUUUUAAGGUGCUUUGACUUUUAAGAGGCCAAAAGUUGACUUUAUUUUCCGUAAGUUAUUUGCAAAAACUUCCUUUAUGAAAGUUGUAGAGUUUGGCGAUACGAGUUCGUAGACACGCGGUGCGUGUAAUUUAGAUGUCGUAUGAGAAAGUUUUGGUCAGAGGAAGUUAGUUUCCGGGUUUGGAAAGUGUACAAGUAGAAAAAUGUGUGUGGGAGUUUUUUUUGGGAACCCUAAAAUCAGCUCACUCUCUUCUCUCUCUUCUCUCUCUUCUCUCCCUCCCCCUCCCGACCUCACCCGUGCACCAAAACUUUGACCGGAGUAUCUCCGCCGUCCGGCCACCAUUUGGACCGCCACCGGCCACCAUUCGACUCCCGCAAGUGCUCUCUUCAAGGCUGGGUAGCUGCUGCUCGAUGUGGCACGCCGGAAUCGGAGCCCUCACUACUACAAAUAUGAGCUUUAAUGACAUUAUAUCCACAGCGUUUCUGGCAAAAUCGCCAUGAAAGAAUGUUUCAAUGACAUUUUUAUAUCAAAACGUCAUGAAUCUUUCUGGGCUAAACAAUUAACAACACUUUUGAAACGCCGUAGAAUAUUAUAAACAUUAACGGUGUUUCUCAGACACCAUAAAAGGUAACCGCGUUUAGUUAAC
RNAcentral lists this long non-coding RNA (11521 nucleotides) under Fragaria vesca (wild strawberry). Its description in RNAcentral is "long non-coding RNA (FVES_LNC005518)". The record is from RNAcentral. Lineage: Eukaryota; Viridiplantae; Streptophyta; Magnoliopsida; Rosales; Rosaceae.